Small nuclear RNA from Tachyglossus aculeatus (Australian echidna), 104 nucleotides. Lineage: Eukaryota; Metazoa; Chordata; Mammalia; Monotremata; Tachyglossidae. The record is from RefSeq and is a predicted model, not a curated record.
AUGAAUUCGGCAGCACAUAUACUAGAGUUGGAACGAUACAGAGAAGAUUAGCAUGGCCCUUGUGCAAGGAUUACUCGAUUUUAUUUGUACUCAUUUAUUCUAUU